Molecule: ribosomal RNA, 253 nt
Filed under: uncultured bacterium
Lineage: Bacteria
Description: partial 16S ribosomal RNA
Rfam family: Bacterial small subunit ribosomal RNA
Source: RNAcentral
UACGUAGGUGGCAAGCGUUGUCCGGAUUUACUGGGCGUAAAGAGCGCGCAGGCGGUCGUUCAAGUCGCGUGUGAAAGCCCCCGGCUCAACUGGGGAGGGUCACGCGAUACUGAUCGACUCGAAGGCAGGAGAGGGUAGUGGAAUUCCCGGUGUAGUGGUGAAAUGCGUAGAUAUCCGGAGGAACACCGAAGGCGAAGGCAGUGUCCUGGCGAGUGACUGACGCUGAGGUGCGAAAGCCAGGGGAGCGAACGGG